GAUGAACGCUGGCGGUAUGCUUAACACAUGCAAGUCGAACGGACUCUUCGGAGUUAGUGGCGGACGGGUGAGUAACGCGUGAGAAUCUGGCUUUGGGUUCGGGACAACCACUGGAAACGGUGGCUAAUACCGGAUGUGCCGAGAGGUAAAAGAGAAAUUGCCUGAAGAUGAGCUUGCGUCUGAUUAGCUAGGUGGUGAGGUAAAGGCUCACCAAGGCAGCGAUCAGUAGCUGGUCUGAGAGGAUGACCAGCCACACUUGGACUGAGACACGGCCCAGACUCCUACGGGAGGCAGCAGUGGGGAAUUUUCCGCAAUGGGCGAAAGCCUGACGGAGCAAUACCGCGUGAGGGAAGAAGGCUCUUGGGUUGUAAACCUCUUUUCUUAGGGAAGAACAAAAUGACGGUACCUAAGGAAUCAGCAUCGGCUAACUCCGUG
Molecule: ribosomal RNA, 435 nt
Filed under: uncultured bacterium
Lineage: Bacteria
Description: partial 16S ribosomal RNA
Rfam family: Bacterial small subunit ribosomal RNA
Source: RNAcentral